This 406-nucleotide ribosomal RNA is filed under the name uncultured bacterium. RNAcentral describes it as "partial 16S ribosomal RNA". It matches the Rfam family "Bacterial small subunit ribosomal RNA", at positions 29 to 526 of the family's 1533-position model. The record is from RNAcentral.
AUUGAACGCUGGCGGCAGGCCUAACACAUGCAAGUCGAACGAGUGGCGGACGGGUGAGUAAUGUCUGGGAAACUGCCUGAUGGAGGGGGAUAACUACUGGAAACGGUCGCUAAUACCGCAUACCAUCAGAUGUGCCCAGAUGGGAUUAGCUAGUUGGUGGGGUAACGGCUCACCAAGGCGACGAUCCCUAGCUGGUCUGAGAGGAUGCCCAGCCACACUGGAACGGAGACACGGUCCGGACUCCUCUGGGAGGAAGAAGUGGGGAAUAUGGGAAAAUGGGAGCAAGCCUGAGGAGUCCAGGCCGGGGGUAGGAAGAAGGCCUUCGGGUUGUAAAGUACUUUCAGCGGGGAGGCGUUACCCGCAGAAGAAGCACCGGCUAACUCCGUGCCAGCAGCCGCGGGAAUUC